This 490-nucleotide long non-coding RNA is filed under the name Gallus gallus (chicken). Lineage: Eukaryota; Metazoa; Chordata; Aves; Galliformes; Phasianidae. The record is from RNAcentral.
CACGCUGUGGAGAGGGGUGGCGGGGUCGCCAUCUUUCUGUGAGGAGUGCAGAGCUGGAGGAUUUCUACGUAUAGUCUGUACUGUAAUGGGGCAAAAAAGGGCUUACCUACUUUGUUGGAAGGAAUGUUUCUGCUCUCCAGAUCGCAUCUUUUACUAGUAUUCCUUUCACCGUGCUCUUAGCUGACAUUGGAUAAUCCUCUUUUCCAAUCCUGAGCACCCUGAAGAAGCUCUUUUCCGAGCCCAGCAGUAGCCAAGCACAAGCUUCUAGCCCAGGAGGAAGGAGGGCACUGCUGGGAGAUUGCUUGUCCUUUUGAAGAGAGGGAAUGGCUGCAGAUGAAGACAAGUGAGCAGCGUCAGUUUUCUUCCUGCCUCUUUCCCAUGUGAGCGCAGGGCCGCCGAGGGGAGCUGGCAGCCCGUGUGGCUGAGGCAGGCCCAUCAGGGCUCAGCUGCGGGGCGGAGGUGGAAGCACCGCUUCAUUCUGCUUUCAGCA